CUGAUGUGGCCUGACGUUGGUGCCUGUGUAAACAGGUGAAAAGGGAAUGUGGAAUCGGGGCGCUCUGCAAGGGGCGUCGUGGUCAACCUCAGCCGCCCCCGCGACCGUGAACGAAAAAGGGCGCUUAAUGCCACUGGCCGCAAGGCUGGGAAGGCAGAGCACCCGCUGGGCCACCGCCCUGAAUUUCGUGAGCCGGGAGACCUGCCAACCUGACCGAAGACCG
This 223-nucleotide non-coding RNA is filed under the name Salipiger aestuarii. Lineage: Bacteria; Pseudomonadati; Pseudomonadota; Alphaproteobacteria; Rhodobacterales; Roseobacteraceae. RNAcentral also lists the same sequence under 1 other name. The record is from RNAcentral.